Molecule: long non-coding RNA, 1035 nt
Filed under: Physcomitrium patens
Lineage: Eukaryota; Viridiplantae; Streptophyta; Bryopsida; Funariales; Funariaceae
Description: long non-coding RNA (PPAT_LNC006232)
Source: RNAcentral
GUUAUAUAUCUUUUAUUUAAUAUUAGAUAAAAACAUUUAAAUAUGAUAAUUAUUAAAUCUUAUUGUAUUUUUAGUCAAUAAGUGAUUUUAAAUUUAAAUCUUGACAAAGACAUAUUUUAAUCAACUUUGCAAUAAUUUAAAACAAAUUUUCACAUAAAAUAUUUGACGUUUUUAUGAUUCAUAUAGUGACUAGACUAAAUGUGUCUUUUGCAUAAUGAUGCAAUCUUUAAAAUGAAUCUAAAUUUAUAAGAUCUUUCUUAUAGAUCUCAUAUUUUAUUAAAGAAACACAACAAGCAAGACACAAGUAGGUAGAAACCAGCAAGGUUAGACACAAGAGAAGUGUGGAAUGAGAUGCCUAUUACUUCUAAUAUCCUUUACUUAUAGGUAGAGUUUACAUCCCUUUUGGCUAGUGUUCAUUUUACUUUCAUCCAACUAAAUCCUAGAUUUCCCUUAACCUAUCCGCCACAUACAAUCCUAGCCGCCUGUCAUGGACAUACAUUGGAAGAUUCUUCGAAUAUUCUUCUAGAAUAUUCUCUAAAGAUUCUCUAAAGAUUCCUUUAGAAGGUUCUAGAAGAUUCUUAGAAUAUUCCCUAAAGAUUCUCUUAGAAGGUUCUAGAAUAUUCUGAUAGAUUUUAGGAAGUUGCUCGAGAAGUUUCCUAAUUAGUAAAAGUUGUUGGAGAAGCAUCCUAGUUAGCGGAAGUAGCUCGAGAAGCUUCCUAUUCAGUAGUAUAUAUAGGAGUCGAGGCUGAAGGGUUCUUCAGUCUCGACAACACAUCUCUUGGAGUUCUAGCUCACCUUUCUGGUGUUGUUCUUGUACUCAUCUGUUUAAUCUAGUUCUGCCACUUCUUCUUGAACUUCUUGUUAGAUUUCAAGUCUGUAUUUUGUGUCCGUGACACCGCCACCUUGAUAACUUUCCUUCAUCUUUUUGCUUCCCUUUGACCAUUAGCAACUUAUCUAAGAUAAUAUCUUUUACCUUCUAACUUAUCUUCUAUUUACUUUAAUAUUCCCACUUUGCUAUUGAUCAAAGGCUAGUAA